UGUGGUUUCUCUUAUAUGAAAAACUCAGAUUACAAAUAAAGAACAAAGUGAAGACAGGCAGCAGGAAGUAGGGAGACAGCUCUUUCCCAGAGGGGAAGCGGACACGAGGUGGAGGGAGGGCGGGGAGGGAAAGGGGUGGGAAAAGGACUGAAGUCGCAUGACGUCCGCGCACCAGCUCCAGGCAGGGAAUGUGUCAUGCGCUGCAAUGCAGAUGAGUAGAAAACAGUAAGGGUGGCUGCCAGCUCUGUCCAAGUCCUAUAAAGCUCUAAUCUGCACACUUUGAGAGACUGAAAUUUUGCACUGUGUGAAAUUUGCACUGCACCUCCAGAGAGCUGUUGUGACAGGUGGGCUUUGGUGAGCUUGGCUGUGUGACCCGGAUGGUGAACCCACCUGCACGGUAUGCCGCUAGGAGCCCGCUGUCAUUUAACAAGUCACGAGUGCAGCCGGGAAUCAUCGCAGUAACUUUGUUUCUGCGGGCACUGGAGAGGAGAGAAGUACUGCAGAAAGAGCAGGUAGUGUAAGGGAGAUGCUUCGGCGCUGGGUGCUCAUUCAAAGAGGAAUGGGGGUGAUUUCUGCCCUCCUGGGGACGCUUAGCAAUGGACACUCCACAGACACCCUAAUGCUGUGGUCGUCAUAAGCACACUGGCAUCCAGGGCACCAAGACCAGACAGGGUGCUCAACCUCCGGAAAGUGCAGGCGAGACCGAGCGCACAGCUACGCAGGGCGGUGCCCAGGUGAGAAGCCCCGGCCCGCACUCGUGUCCUGGCUGGCUUGCUGGGGCUCAGGCUGCCAGCAUCCAUCCCAGAGACUUGGAUCCAGUUGUGUGAGUGGGGACGGAGAAUCUGCACUUCCGACAAGCUCCUGCAUGACGCCAGGCUCUCUCUCCAGCUCCCUUCUCCAUCUCCCAAGAAGAGGAGGACAGAACCCACCCAGGCAGCAGCUCCCGAGCAGGAUGCGGGAUACAGCCACAACACACCUCCGGCACGAGAACACACAGGACCUGGCUGCACCAAACUUCCGGCACAAGAACGCAUGGGACCUGGCACCCGAUGUUGAUCUUCUAGCAGGAGACCACGGGGGACCACAGGGAUCAGCUGUCCAGGAAGACGCACAGGGCGGCAGCAGGAGCCUGGGCCCACCACCCCCUGGCUCUCACCUCAGUCCAGUCUUUUCUGCAUACACAAUGCAUCGAAGCACCCUUUUCUCCCUGAGCUUUGCUUUUGUGCUUCUCCUUUUUUUCCUUCUUCUUAUUUCUUCC
This 1258-nucleotide long non-coding RNA is filed under the name Chinchilla lanigera (long-tailed chinchilla). RNAcentral describes it as "lncRNA (ENSCLAG00000026385.1)". The record is from RNAcentral. Lineage: Eukaryota; Metazoa; Chordata; Mammalia; Rodentia; Chinchillidae.